This 958-nucleotide long non-coding RNA is filed under the name Marmota monax (woodchuck). Lineage: Eukaryota; Metazoa; Chordata; Mammalia; Rodentia; Sciuridae. The record is from RNAcentral.
CUGGCAACAGCCCUGGGAGGCCUGGCACGGGCCACAAUUAAGAGCUAAUGAGCAGGCCUGCUGUGGCUGCUCCUUGGCAAGAGCCCCGGCACUGGCGCGGCUGUCCCAGGGCAGCCAGCAUGCCCCGACCUCCAGAGUGCUGCUGACUGGGGUGCUAUUUCAGGGGCAGUGGCAGAUAGGCCUGGUGUGCGACCCCUCCUUGGGCUUUCUGAACACGCACAAGUUGCUGACUGUGGAAUGUGGGGCAGCUGGUUCCCUGCUUGGUCGACUCCCAUGGAUGCUGGAAAGGGGUGUGGUGGGCAUGGUAGUGGGGAUCUGUGGGGCUGUCACUGCUAGGGAGACUGGCACAGAGGAGGAAGCCUGGGCCCCGCUCCUCAGCUUCUCUCUCUGCAUACAUUGAGUAGGUCCUGCCUCCCUAGACACCCACGGUCCUGAUGAAAGGUGGGCCUGGGGGCAAAGGCAGCUCUGCAGGACCAAGGUGCAGGGUUCAGCACAUGCCUGUUGGGAGGGUGGCCACCAAAGGGGCAGCAGCAUGGCCAGUGGGAGGUCCAGGAGAAGCAGGGGUUGUGCUGCUGUCCCUGCUGCAUGUGGCUUGUCCCCCUCCCCCUGCUCGAGAGGGCCUUGCCCCCAUUCCUGGGAGAGGAGAGAGCAGCUCCAGCCACAUGGGCCACCAGCAGGCCACAGGUUCUGGGAGAGGUGUCUGGUGGGGAGUCCAAGCUGCUCCCCUCUGUCUGCCUCCCUCACCGGGGCACCACUUGGCCUUGCCUGGGCUGCACCACUUGGUGUCCCAGCUUCCCUGGUGUCCCUCUGCUGAGACGGGAGCCCAGAGACUCUCAGAGCCUCACCUGGACUGCAGGGCUAGCAGAAGGAUAAGGGGGUUCUGGAACCACUGCCCUGUCUCCAAUGGCACCCCUGUGCUUCUCAUCAGUGGGAGCCUCUCACCUCCCUCGGCAUGGCC